RNAcentral lists this ribosomal RNA (177 nucleotides) under Canis lupus (wolf). RNAcentral's name for it is "partial small subunit ribosomal RNA". The record is from RNAcentral. Lineage: Eukaryota; Metazoa; Chordata; Mammalia; Carnivora; Canidae.
GAAAUUUUUCCCAAACUGGGAUUAGAUACCCCACUAUGCUUAGCCCUAAACAUAGAUAAUUUUACAACAAAAUAAUUCGCCAGGGGACUACUAGCAAUAGCUUAAAACUCAAAGGACUUGGCGGUGCUUUAUAUCCCUCUAGAGGAGCCUGUUCUAUAAUCGAUAAACCCCGAUAAA